CCCCGACGCCGGGCGGGGGCGACGCGAGGCCCGCACCUGUCCCGUUCUCGCGGUGCCGGCGGGACGGGGGGCUCGGCGCGUGAAGGGCAGCGCGCAGGGCUGCUUCUCAGGGCUGCUGGCAGCCUGGGCCUUGGAAUCCUGUUGGAGCAGUGUUUAAUCGGAUCCCAAGAAAUAGCAGGAGAGAAGAGCAGUUACCAGCACACUUUUCUUCUGCAUUUUGUUCAAAGUGAGAUGUGAACAUGAACAGCAAGCUUCACAAAGUCACCAGACAAUUAAGGCAUGGCAGAGGCACCACAUUCAGGAAAAGUGAAUACUGUCUUAGUUCACAAGCUGUGUAAGUAGAUAAUGUGGGAAUACAAGAAGAACUAUUCAGAGCAGCAGCUGCGAAACAAGAUAAACAGCAUGAGAACCAAGGAUACCUCUAUAAGAAGAGAAGAAGCAAAAGGAGCAGCUCACAGCUCUGAUUGGGUAAGCACCUGCAGGCACGGUUAAGGAGUGAUUGUAAAAUACUCUGUUGACAUGUAAAGGUGGAUGGGAAGGUUGUAAGAACAAAUGGGAAAGCUAAAAAAGGAAACUUGUGAAUGUAUAUAAAUGAGGUGAGAACUUGUAAGAAACAAUUCAGAUCAUUCACAUCUGAGUCCAUGCAGCAAACACUGCAGAUGAAGAUCUCUUUAAUUCAAGCAGGAAUUUGUGUUAGCUGUCAGUCUGUGGCAAGAUGUGUACAGGAUUUUUAAUUGUUCUGAAAACAGAAGAUAAAAUAAGAAAAAAGGGAAAAAAAAAAAAGAAAUCACUGAAGCUAAGAAAGCUGACAAAGAAACUGGCACACUAACGAGUUUUGUCAAGCAGGUAUUCCCUUUAUUACAGUGCUAGGUGCAUGGGGGAUUGCUCCCACCAGGCAUCUACACCAAGAGAAGCAGUGACUACAUAUUUAAGGGUAUAGUGAAUGAAUAUAUAUGCAUUUCAUUCCAAGGACAUGGGCAGCAAUAACAUCUCUGGUGGUCAUGGGAUGAAAGACGAGGUCAUGCUUGCUGUAAAUUUCCAACCUUUUAAGGGGAGUAGACCAAACUGGUUCUCACUGAUGUUACAUUGAGCCGAGGCAUCUGUUUUGCCAUUUUAUCUUCAACAGCGGGACAUCUAUUCUACUUUCUUAUCUUCAUUUGACAACAAGCUCUGCAGCCUCCUCUGUGCUCUCUUCUUGAGCUUACAUUUAUGCAAGCCUCUGUCCUUCAGCUUACAUCUGUUCAAGUUAUGUGAGAUGCUGUUCUCACAAUAUAGAAAAGCUGUUCUCUUGAUUCACCAUUUAUCAAGUGAUAAUGCUUGGAGGGCUGCAUUUUAGUAAAGUGUUUGGCCUUUAAUGCAGAAUACUCUUGAGUUUCAGGAUUGCUGGUUUUAAUGUGGCUUUUAGCUUUCCUAAAACAACACAAUUCAUUUCCUAAAACAAUACAAAUCAAUUUCGUCAGUAUUACAUUAUAGUAAUCACCCCUUUUCUCUGUUCAUCUGGCAGAUGAAGAGCUAUCCUUUUAGGUGAUACCUUUUCAAGCCUUUCUGCAAAGUUUCUCCCUUCAGUGUAUACUCCUUUUUUUUUUUUCUGUAACAUUAAGAAUUCAGUUGGGUGAGACACUGCUGCAAAGACUGUCUUAGUUAAGGCUCACAGAACAGAAUCCUGUGCUUGCAGUUUUUUUAGCUUGGCUGAAUUCCAUCCCAACAACAGAACAUCUAGGUUUCUUGCCAGCUGCUAGAUAUGUACCUAAAUAAUAUUUCAACCUGGAAUCCAGAGAUUCUGGAUUAACCAACUGCCAAAAUGCCACCAAUAUGCAUUUCUUUCCAAAGCGUUUCUAGCCAUUUCUAUUGGUAGCACAGUACUUGGUAUUGGUAAAAAAAAAAAAAA
Lagopus muta (rock ptarmigan) is the source of this 1888-nucleotide long non-coding RNA. RefSeq lists it as uncharacterized. The record is from RefSeq and is a predicted model, not a curated record. Lineage: Eukaryota; Metazoa; Chordata; Aves; Galliformes; Phasianidae. The transcript has 3 exons.